This 380-nucleotide ribosomal RNA is filed under the name uncultured eukaryote. RNAcentral describes it as "partial 18S ribosomal RNA". It matches the Rfam family "Eukaryotic small subunit ribosomal RNA", at positions 592 to 976 of the family's 1831-position model. The record is from RNAcentral.
CAAUAGCGUAUAUUAAAGUUGUUGCAGUUAAAAAGCUCGUAGUUGGAUUUGUGGCGUACGGUGUGCUCCGGGCACUUGUUGUCUGAGUAACCUGCUGUUGCCAUCCUUGGGUGGAACCUGUGUGGCAUUAGGUUGUCGUGCAGGGGAUGCCCAUCAUUUACUGUGAAAAAAUUAGAGUGUUCAAAGCAGGCUUAUGCCGUUGAAUAUAUUAGCAUGGAAUAAUGAGAUAGGACUUUUUUGCUAUUUUGUUGGUUUGCGCAAGAAGGUAAUGAUUAAUAGGGACAGUUGGGGGUAUUCGUAUUCCAUUGUCAGAGGUGAAAUUCUUGGAUUUUUGGAAGACGAACUACUGCGAAAGCAUUUACCAAGGAUGUUUUCAUUAA